GGGCACUUAGCUGUAUAACGCACUAAGCAAAGGCUUUUUCCAGGUAAAUUUGGUGCCUCGUAUGCAAGGGAGGACCUUGACAGCUGCUACCACCUGCCUGCCCAAUGUCAUGCCCUGGCCGCAAUCUGCACCUUGGCCCUUCUCCAUUUCUGUGUCCAAUGAUAGCCACCUGGACCUGGGCUGGAUGAACAGGACAGACCUUCCUCCUUCACCUGUGGCUAGUCCUCCACAGCCUAUGUUUGCAGCUUUUCAUUUUAGAAAACAAACUUCUGGCUUUCUGUCAUCUUGUCCCACAAGAAGAACCUAGACCCACUGAACUAGAACACCUGGAUUACAAGUAUCUCCAUCUAUUAGAUGUGAAAUAAAAACACCGGGUUUGAUUUCCCAUGGAACCCGUAGGAAUGGCUACGAAGUGCUCAGUGCUGUCCAUUUGUGUGAAUGACUACAGCAGACGCUGAUGAAUGUUUCGCUUCAGUCCAAUUUGAUCAUCUGGCCAGAGGUUUGUUUCAGCAUCUGCUACCAAAGAUUAACUCUAACUGCCAUGUCGUCAUCAUCUUCUGAUCUGUGAGCUGCCAUGAACCAGGGAGCGUGAUCCAGCCCAUCCACCAGCCUUCACACAGGACCACACUCAGCACUUGCUGCAGGGACAAGACUGUGAGAUCCUUUUCUCCAAAGAACUAUAGGGAGCCCUUCCUAUAACCAGCAAAUAAAUGACCACGCACCAA
Long non-coding RNA from Fukomys damarensis (Damara mole-rat), 725 nucleotides. RefSeq lists it as uncharacterized. The transcript is spliced from 3 exons. NCBI's taxonomy places the organism in Eukaryota, Metazoa, Chordata, Mammalia, Rodentia, Bathyergidae. The record is from RefSeq and is a predicted model, not a curated record.